AGAGUUUGAUCCUGGCUCAGGACGAACGCUGGCGGCGUGCUUAACACAUGCAAGUCGAACGGAAAGGCCCUUUCGGGGGUACUCGAGUGGCGAACGGGUGAGUAACACGUGGGUGAUCUGCCCUGCACUUCGGGAUAAGCUUGGGAAACUGGGUCUAAUACCGGAUAGGACCGCGGCAUGCAUGUGCUGUGGUGGGAAGUUUUUAACGGUGUGGGAUGGGCCCGCGGCCUAUCAGCUUGUUGGUGGGGUGAUGGCCUACCAAGGCGACGACGGGUAGCCGGCCUGAGAGGGUGUCCGGCCACACUGGGACUGAGAUACGGCCCAGACUCCUACGGGAGGCAGCAGUGGGGAAUAUUGCACAAUGGGCGCAAGCCUGAUGCAGCGACGCCGCGUGGGGGAUGACGGCCUUCGGGUUGUAAACCUCUUUCACCAUCGACGAAGGCCCGCUUUUGGUGGGUUGACGGUAGGUGGAGAAGAAGCACCGGCCAACUACGUGCCAGCAGCCGCGGUAAUACGUAGGGUGCGAGCGUUGUCCGGAAUUACUGGGCGUAAAGAGCUCGUAGGUGGUUUGUCGCGUUGUUCGUGAAAUUCCCUGGCUUAACUGGGGGCGUGCGGGCGAUACGGGCAGACUGGAGUACUGCAGGGGAGACUGGAAUUCCUGGUGUAGCGGGGAUGCGCAGAUAUCAGGAGGAACACCGGUGGCGAAGGCGGGUCUCUGGGCAGUAACUGACGCUGAGGAGCGAAAGCGUGGGGAGCGAACAGGAUUAGAUACCCUAGUAGUCC
This 783-nucleotide ribosomal RNA is filed under the name uncultured bacterium. RNAcentral describes it as "bacterial SSU rRNA". It matches the Rfam family "Bacterial small subunit ribosomal RNA", at positions 8 to 796 of the family's 1533-position model. The record is from RNAcentral.